GGAGUCUAGCAUGUGCGCGAGUCAUUGGGACUCUGAUAAACCUAAAGGCGAAAUGAAAGUGAAAGGUCGCGCUUCGCGCGCGACCGAGGGAGGAUGGGCCGCGUUCGCCGCGGCCUCGCACUCCCGGGGCGUUUCCAUCUCAUUGCGAGAAGAGGCGCACCCAGAGCGUACACGCUGGGACCCGAAAGAUGGUGAACUAUGCCUGGUCAGGACGAAGUCAGGGGAAACCCUGAUGGAGGUCCGUAGCGAUUCUGACGUGCAAAUCGAUCGUCGGAACUGGGUAUGGGGGCGAAAGACCAAUCGAACGAUCUAGUAGCUGGUUCCCUCCGAAGUUUCCCUCAGGAUAGCUGGCGCUCGCUUUGCGAGUCUCAUCCGGUAAAGCGAAUGAUUAGAGGCAUUGGGGUCGAAACGGCCUCAACCUAUUCUCAAACUUUAAAUGGGUGAGAUCUCCGGCUUGCUUAAAUUGUGAAGCCGCGAGAUGAGGAUCAGAGUGCCAAGUGGGCCACUUUUGGUAAGCAGAACUGGCGCUGUGGGAUGAACCAAACGUAGAGUUAAAGCGCCUAAAUCGACGCUUAUGGGAUACCAUGAAAGGCGUUGGUAACUUAAGACAGCAGGACGGUGGCCAUGGAA
This 630-nucleotide ribosomal RNA is filed under the name Aphanisticus elongatus. Its description in RNAcentral is "eukaryotic LSU rRNA". It matches the Rfam family "Eukaryotic large subunit ribosomal RNA", at positions 670 to 1259 of the family's 3401-position model. Lineage: Eukaryota; Metazoa; Arthropoda; Insecta; Coleoptera; Buprestidae. The record is from RNAcentral.